This 424-nucleotide ribosomal RNA is filed under the name Verrucomicrobiota bacterium. RNAcentral describes it as "Verrucomicrobia bacterium partial 16S ribosomal RNA". It matches the Rfam family "Bacterial small subunit ribosomal RNA", at positions 355 to 776 of the family's 1533-position model. The record is from RNAcentral. Lineage: Bacteria; Pseudomonadati; Verrucomicrobiota.
UGAGGAAUAUUGGUCAAUGGACGCAAGUCUGAACCAGCCAAGUAGCGUGCAGGAUGACGGCCCUAUGGGUUGUAAACUGCUUUUAUAUGGGGAUAAAGUGGGGAACGUGUUCCCUUUUGCAGGUACCAUAUGAAUAAGGACCGGCUAAUUCCGUGCCAGCAGCCGCGGUAAUACGGAAGGUUCGGGCGCUAUCCGGAUUUAUUGGGUUUAAAGGGAGCGUAGGCCGUUUGGUAAGCGUGUUGUGAAAUGUAGGAGCUCAACUUCUAGAUUGCAGCGCGAACUGUCAGACUUGAGUGCGCACAACGUAGGCGGAAUUCAUGGUGUAGCGGGGAAAUGCUUAGAUAUCAUGAAGAACUCCGAUUGCGAAGGCAGCUUACGGGAGCGCAACUGACGCUGAAGCUCGAAGGUGCGGGUAUCGAACAGG